Coffea arabica (coffee) is the source of this 1973-nucleotide RNA transcript. It is a transcript of the gene named 1-aminocyclopropane-1-carboxylate oxidase homolog 3, with no coding region annotated. The record is from RefSeq and is a predicted model, not a curated record. Lineage: Eukaryota; Viridiplantae; Streptophyta; Magnoliopsida; Gentianales; Rubiaceae.
UAGAUGCAAGCAACUUACAUAAGAUUGAUUAGAAGUGUUGAAUAAACCUCCUAAAAGCUAAAGGACCUAAACAAGUGGCUUCUGUUUCUUGUUAGAGGCAGAAAAUACAAAUGCCACACCUUUGCUGGCAGUACAAUUGUGAUAAGAGACAAAAGAGUUGUCAUUGAUAGACAAGAAUAUUCGUAGAAUUUUUUACUCAAUUCAACUGCUCCACGCAAUUCAACUGCUCCAUUCCUUAUAUUUUUAAAAUUUUCUGGUCCACCUCGUCUACAAUGUUUCCUCUCUCUUACCAUUUUCAUUUUCCAAAUUACACCUCCUGCAAACAACCCCUUUCUCUCCCCACUCUAAUUAGUAAUUUCCAUAUCUAAAGGACCCUCAAACCCCUAUCCAUACCCGUAUCCGAAUCUAAACGGCAAAAACCCGCCACCAUUUCAAAGUCAUGGCAACCACAACCACCAACCCUCCACCACCUCAACCCGACCCGACCACCCAAAGCACCCGUCUCCAAGAAAUCAAGCAAUUCGAUGAAUCCAAAAUCGGAGUCAAAGGCCUAGUUGACCGCGGCCUACCCGCCAUUCCCUCCUUCUUCAUCCAUCCCAAGCCAGCCGAACUAAACCCGAAAGACCCGAAUAACAGACCCGGCACGAAGCCCACCAUCCCCGUCAUAGACUUCUCCUCUUCCAGGUCGACGAUCGUUGACGAAAUCCGGCGAGCAUCUUCUACACUGGGGUUCUUCCAAAUCAUCAACCACUCCGUCCCAGUUGCCUCAAUCAAGAAAAUCUUGGGUUCAAUUCAAGAGUUUUACGAGCUGCCGGAAGAUGCAAAAAUGGAGUAUUACACCAGGGAUAUGUCACGUGGGGCGGCUUAUUCCACAAAUUUCGAUCUCUACCAAUCAAAGGCCGCCAGCUGGAGGGACACCUUCCAGAUGGGCUUGGCGCCAAACCCGCCGAAAUGGGAGAACGUGCCGUUCAGCUGCCGGGAGACAGUGGCGGGAUGGGACAAAGAGGUGGUGAAAAUAUCCAAGGAAGUUUUGGAAAUCUUAUCUGAAGGGUUGGGACUGGAAAAGAAGGAUAAAUUGAAGGAAUUGUCAGACGGCAGAGUUAUGGCUGCCCAUUACUACCCGUACUGCCCGCAGGCGGAAUUGACGGCUGGGCUGACGUCACAUACUGAUCCGGGGCUGCUGACCGUGCUGGUGCAGAAUGAAGUGCCCGGGUUGCAGGUCAAAGUGGGAGAAGAUUGGGUGGACGUGGUGCCUGUAGAGGGCGCAAUUGUGUUUAACAUUGGGGAUAAUCUUCAGGUGGGAGGGUUAUGGCUGCCCAUUACUAUCCAUAUUGCACACAGCCGGAACUGACUGAUGGGUUGACAUCACAUACUGACCUGAGGCUGCUGACUAUGCUGGUGCAAAAUGAGGUGCCGGGGUUGCAGGUCAAAAUUGGGGAGGGGUGGGUUGAUGUGGAGCCUGUGAAGGGUGCUAUUUUGUUCAAUAUUGGGGAUCUUUUCCAGAUAAUGUCGAAUGAUCAAUACAAAAGCGUGGAGCACAGAGUGUUGGCAAACCCUCUCCGAGAUGCUCGUGUAUCUGUUGCUGUUUUUCUGAAGCCAAGCCAUAGUGAUCAGCUGUGUGGACCUUUUCCUGAACUUGUAUCUGCUGAAAAACCAGCUGUUUACAGGCAGUUCACACUGUCUGAUUACAUGGGAAGAUUUUUCUCCAAGGAGUUGGAUGGCAAGACGCUGACAAACUACUACAGAAUUUGAAACACAAGAAUCAGCUGAACAUUAAGAAAAUAAUCGAUUUGUGUACCACAUAUUCCGAGGAGCAAAAUUAAGUAGAUUAAGAAAAUAAUCCAUCUGCCAUAGGACGGUGUAAAUUUCUGUCUUACAAGGAAUACAUGAAUAGAAAGUUGUCCCAGGACUUGGAUGAGAUACAAUUGUCUUUAAGAUUCUUGUUUGAUUAAUGUGAUCUCCAAUUACAACUA